UUUCAUAGCUAACUCUUUGUUAUAUUUAACUUACUCUUCUUUGCUUCUUUGCUUCUUGCUCAUAACGAUAACUUGAAAGCCUUACGUUCAGAUAGAUAAUCAUUGACCAGUUCAUUGACCAGUUCUUUGUUAAUUUAGAAAUGCUGAAACAAAAACGCAAGCAAUCCAAAGAUGAAGACAACGAUUCAUCCUCGCGAAAGAGAAGAAAAGCUGACCUCAGUAAGCCUGUCAGUUUUGUCUCCACAGGUAAGGCAUAUGCGUGAGUCUAUACAUGUAGGAACUGCUGAUUCGAUUUGAAUAUGUUAUUUGAUUAGUCUGAUCAUAGGAUAGGUUGAGUCUACUACUAUUUCUGCCUUGCUUUGACUCGAAAUUCCUGGUGUUUUCACCUGCAAAUGAAUAGAAAUCACAUCCUUUCUCUUUCUCCUAUACAAAGAAUACAGUUAACCUCAUUUCAAUAUCAUAGAUUUGGAAUUUCAUAGCUAACUCUUUGUUAUAUUGCUCCAUUGGUAAUUGAUUGUGCCUUAAUUUCUGCAGCUACCAUGACAGAGCCAGGGUCUUCUCGAUCUAGUCCAGAAGGGGCCUAUGAUGUCUUCUUGAGUUUUAGAGGAGAAGACACUCGCAAGACAUUUACAGAUCAUCUAUAUGCUGCCUUAGAUCAAGCAGGAAUCCGCGCUUUUCGAGAUGAUGAUGAACUUCCGAGAGGAGAAGAAAUCUCCGAUCAUCUCCUCAGGGCAAUUCAAGAAUCAAAGAUAUCCAUAGUUGUCUUCUCAAAAGGAUAUGCUUCUUCUAGAUGGUGUCUCAAUGAACUUGUAGAGAUUCUUGAGUGCAAAAAGAGGAAAACCGGUCAGAUUGUUCUUCCUAUAUUCUAUGACAUUGAUCCUUCAGAUGUGAGAAAACAGAACGGCAGUUUUGCAGAAGCAUUUGUUAAACAUGAAGAGCGUUUUGAAGAGAAGUUGGUGAAGGAGUGGAGAAAAGCUCUUGAGGAGGCUGGAAAUCUAUCUGGAUGGAAUCUCAAUGAUAUGGCAAAUGGGUAUGCCUUUUUUCCAAAUUUAUGGAGUCAAUAUACUUUAUAUUUUUCAAUGUGAAACAAUAAAAUACUUAAUUGACUGGCUAUCAAUGACUGGCUUUUGUCUAUGAGCAGGCAUGAAGCAAAAUUUAUCAAAGAGAUUAUCAAGGAUGUGUUGAAUAAAUUAGAUCCCAAGUACUUAGAUGUUCCUGAGCUCCUAGUAGGUAUGGAUCGGCUUUCUCGCAAUAUUUUUGACUUUCUAAGUACUGCAACACAUGAUGUACGCAUUGUGGGCAUACAUGGGAUGCCAGGAAUAGGAAAGACAACUAUAGCAAAAGUUGUAUUUAAUCAACUCCGCUAUAGAUUCGAGGGAAGCUGCUUUUUUUCGAAUAUCAAUGAAACAUCAAAACAAUUCAAUGGUCUGGCUCUUUUACAAGAGCAACUUCUUCAUGAUAUUUUAAAACAAGAUGUUGCUAACAUCAAUUGUGUCGAUAGAGGAAAGGUUCUGAUCAAAGAACGACUUCGUCGCAAAAGAGUUCUUGUUGUUGCUGAUGAUGUGACUCGUCAGGACCAGCUAAAUGCUUUGAUGGGAGAGCGAGGUUGGUUUGGUCCCGGAAGUAGAGUAAUUAUUACAACAAGAGAUUCAAGUUUUCUACAUAAAGCGGAUCAAACAUAUCAAAUCGAAGAAUUGAAACCAGAUGAGUCCUUUCAACUUUUCAGCUGGCAUGCCUUGCGGGACACCAAGCCAGCAGAAGAUUAUAUUGAGCUUUCGAAGGAUGUAGUUGAUUACUGUGGAGGAAUUCCUUUGGCUCUUGAGGUUAUGGGUGCUUGUCUGUCCGGGAAAAACAGAGAUGGUUGGAAAUCUGUAAUUGACAAAUUGAGAAGAAUUCCAAACCGCGAUAUCCAAGGAAAGCUUAGAAUAAGUUUUGACGCACUGGACGGUGAAGAACUACAAAAUGCAUUCCUUGACAUCGCUUGCUUCUUUAUUGAUAGAAAGAAAGAGUACGUCGCAAAAGUGCUAGGAGCCCGUUGCGGUUACAAUCCAGAAGUUGAUUUGCAAACUCUCCAUGAGAGGUCUCUGAUUAAAGUAUUGGGAGAGACGGUAACCAUGCAUGAUCUAUUACGAGACAUGGGAAGGGAGGUCGUUCGUGAAAAGUCUCCAAAACAACCUGGAGAGAGGACCAGAAUUUGGAAUCAAGAGGAUGCAUGGAAUGUACUUGAGCAGCAGAAGGUAAGAGCUCAAUGCAUACAUGAAAGCAUAGUCAUGCGUAUUUUCUAGUCAAACUUAUUACAAGUAAUUGUAUGAAAGUUGUAUUGAUUUAUUUUUUAGGGUACGGAUGUCGUAGAGGGUCUUGCACUGGAUGUCAGAGCAUCAGAAGCUAAAUCACUUAGCGCAGGAUCAUUUGCAGAAAUGAAAUGCUUAAAUUUACUCCAAAUCAAUGGAGUUCAUCUCACCGGAUCCUUCAAACUGCUUUCUAAAGAGUUGAUGUGGAUUUGUUGGCUUCAAUGUCCUUUGAAAUAUUUUCCAUCUGAUUUUACCUUGGAUAAUUUAGCUGUUCUUGAUAUGCAGUACAGUAACCUCAAAGAACUAUGGAAGGGAAAAAAGGUGAGAAACAUGCUGCAAUCCCCAAAAUUUCUCUAUUAUGUAAUUUAUAUUUACAUGUUACAACUUCUUAAGAUUAAUUUUCAUUAUUUUGCGCUCUAUUAUACAGAUUCUCAACAGGCUAAAAAUCCUUAAUCUCAGUCAUUCUCAGCACCUUAUUAAAACACCAAACUUACACAGUUCAAGUCUAGAGAAAUUAAUUCUGAAAGGUUGCUCGAGUUUAGUUGAGGUGCAUCAAUCAAUUGAAAAUUUGACGAGCCUUGUUUUCUUGAAUCUCAAGGGAUGUUGGAGGCUGAAGAAUCUCCCUGAAAGAAUUGGCAAUGUAAAGUCUCUUAAAACUCUGAAUAUUUCUGGGUGUUCACAACUUGAGAAAUUGCCAGAACGCAUGGGUGAUAUGGAAUCCUUAACUAAGCUGCUAGCUGAUGGGAUUGAAAAUGAGCAAUUUCUCUCUUCAAUUGGACAAUUAAAGCAUUGCAGAAGGUUAUCAUUGCAUGGAGACAGUUCGACGCCACCAAGUUCUUCUUUGAUUUCAACAGGUGUUUUGAAUUGGAAACGUUGGCUGCCAGCAUCUUUCAUUGAAUGGAUAUCAGUGAAACAUCUUGAGCUUUCUAAUAGUGGUUUGUCUGAUCGCGCAACUAACUGUGUUGAUUUCAGUGGUUUGUCUGCUCUAGAAAAAUUGGAUCUAACAGGAAACAAAUUCUCUAGGCUGCCUUCUGGGAUCGGCUUCCUUCCCAAGCUAACGUAUUUGUCUGUUGAGGGAUGCAAAUAUCUUGUAUCAAUCCCAGAUCUUCCCUCAAGUUUAGGGCAUUUGUUUGCAUGUGAUUGCAAAUCAUUGAAAAGAGUAAGAAUACCAAGCGAGCCAAAAAAAGGACUAUUUAUAAAGCUAGAUGACAGUCAUUCGUUAGAAGAGUUUCAGGGCAUUGAAGAUCUAAGUAAUUGUUUCUGGUAUAUUCGUGUUGAUGACCGCAGUCAUUCACCAAGUAAAUUACUAAAGAGCGUUGUUGAGGUACUAUUUCUUUCCGUCUCUCUUUCGCACAAAAAGAAACACACACAAUUGGCACAUACAUUGAUUAAUGUCUAAAAUCUCAGCAUUCCUUGAAAUCAAUAUGUAUAUAGGCAAUAAUUAUUAUUAUUAUUAUUAUAUUUUAAAAAACAAAUAUCAUGUUUUAUAAUAUUUUUUAUUUUUCUUAUUUAAUCUAAAAAAUUAAAUAUUAUCUUUAAUAAUAUUUUUUAUUAAAUAUUUAAAGUCUGAUUGGUUUUAUUUUUUAUUUCUUGAUUUUAUGAUAAUAUAUUUAUACAGUUAAUGUGCAACGGUCGUCACGGGUAUUUUAUUCGCCACACUCCUAGUGAGAUGCCAAACUGGAUGAGCUACAGGGGAGAAGGAUGCUCAUUGUCAUUCCAUAUACCUCCAGUCUUUCAAGGCUUAGUUGUUUGGUUUGAUAAGGAUGAUCAUUAUUACUUCCACACUGACAUUAUUAUUAUUAUAAGAAAUAAAAGCAACGGUAUUCAAUUGUUUGAAGAAGAACGAACAGUACCAGAAAAUGAAAACAAUACCUCCAAAUUAGUAGAACGAACAGUAUCAGAACGAACAGUACCUCCAAAUUAGUAGGGUACAUCUCUUUUUGCCGAGUUGAUAUGAAUUCGUUAGCUUGAUGAAAACAACCGAAAGUUCUGAAAGCAUCCUUAAUUAGUAUAAUUAGUAAAGUCUUGUUAGUUUUGGCUAUAAGUUUUUGUUAUGUAUUAUUGCAUGGUUUUUAUUAUUUGUUGGCCCUUGUUUUUUUUAUAUACAACUUUUAUUUUUAUUGUCGGUUUGUCAUUAGCUUUAUGGCACUAACACUUAUUAAUAAUAAAUCUUGGACUAUUAUUAAAUAAAGGAAAAAUAAAAACAUUGUUAAAAUACCAAACUUGCAUAUUUCAAACUUAGAGAAAGCCGAUGAUAAUAAUCCAAUUUAGAAAAUAAUUAAUUUGUCCUUGUAGUAUUAGAAAAUAGUAUUUAAUCCUUAUGUUUUCAUAUUCAUCUAUGAUUUAAUCUCUUACAUCCAUUUCAUUUUCUUAUUAUUUUAAUCCAAAAAAAACUAAAAAUCACAUAUCAUGAAUACCAAUUAGAACGGAAGUGAAGACCAAUUAGAAGACUAUAAUCCAUAAUUCUCUCUGCUUCUAAGAAUUCACAGUCCCUAUAAAUUUGACUGAGAAAGAAAGAACUGAAGACAAACACAUGUUAACCUCUCAAGAUUAGUGCCUCACAAAAGAACAAGAUAAAGGAAACACCGCAAUUUUUCAUGAUAAAAUCCAAAGGAUUGGUACUUUGGUGUUUGUGGCGCUGGUAUAUGAAAGAACAGAGAUCAAGAGAUGAAAUCCCUCUAUACCGCUGUUAUUCCUUUCAAGGUGCGUAUCAGGUGUUUGAAAAACUUCCUCAACUUAAAGUAGAAAGGUCUUGUUUACAACGUUUUUUAGUCCUUUUCAAGUCUUCCAAUGUGUUGCAUUUACUGAAUAUGAUAGUGGGAAUUUAGUUAUCACCUACUAUCUUCUAAGACGCAUCUCUGUCUCCUCUUCUUCUUUAUAAAAUUAUUCCCUUCUAGUUCUCUAAUGUACUUGAUGUCCCGGAAGUGUGGCUUCUUCAUAUGAAGAAUACGUUAAGAUUCAAUUAUGAUUUUAGAUUCCAUUGCCUACAAAUUUGAACCAUGAUAAUGUAGCAUACGGACCAGUCAUGCCUAUCUACAUUAAUUAGAAUAGGCCUCCACCCUCUUAGGUUUUUAUUGAGAUUAGGGAUUCUAUUGUAGCUCUUUUUUCUCCUUUUAUUAUAACAAAAUAAUAUGUAUGGAUUAAUUUUCGUAUACAGAAACUAAGUCCUUUAAUCAAAUUUUAGAUUGACCAUCCUCUAUUUUUUAACUGUUUGAUACUUGUUUAAAAAAAAUACUAGUAAUGAGGGCAUGAAAUUAAGAAGGUGUGUGGGAAUGUGGUUGUGGUUGUUUUUGAAAAUAUAUUUUACUUAAAAAUAUAUCAAAAUAUUAUUUUUUUUAUUUUUAAAAAUUAUUUUUAAUAUUAACAUAUUAAAAAUAAAACGGUUAAAGAUAAAGUCCCAAAACAUAUUCUGCCCUUCUCCCCAAUGAACGUGGGCAGGCUUGACAUUUACUCGUUUACAAAACUGAGCCCAGUGGCAAAGAGGCCUGCUUAUUAUGCCUUUAGCUGAGACUGCUGUAGAAAUAAGUAGGCCUGAUCAAUUGGACUAAAUUUUUGUUUUGCUGUAGAAACACGUUUUUCCUUUGUGAGAAAAAGCAAGUUCAAAAAAACAGAAGAAGCAGAAUUUGAAAAAAAGAAGAGAAAAAAGAAAGAUGCUUUAGUUUUUAAUCCAUAAUGUCCAAAGUGACUGGGUAGAUAAGAUCCAGCCCAUUUGGGUCCAUCAAAGUCAUUUGUGGUAGCUUAUGACUAAUGUGCCCAAAGGAUGGCGGUUCAGUAACGGUCCAAGUAAAGAAACUAAUCUGGAAAAGGAAAUCAUGCCCAUCAGAAUUCAGAAGAUCAUUCUGCGUCCAUUUCACAUUAGCAAAAUGAAUCAAAACACCCAUUAGAAUUUUGAAGUCAUGUAUCUUCGAUGAAUUGCAAGCCAUAUCCAAAAGUUUCAUCAUCCAUAUGCCAAGCAGCAUGCAUGCAUGCAAAAUAUGGUGAGACAGAGUCAUCAGAUAAAAAAGAAAAAUAGUAGUGGAAUAAUUCUUUUAAUAUUUAAAAAUUAAAAAAUACUGUGUAACUGUUUUGUAUAAAUUGUAAAGUCAAGGACUCUUUUGUGCUUGGUAAAAUACCUCACACUAAAAUUAAUAAAUAAUAACACGAGAAGGACCAAAGUUAAUAAAUAAUAGCAUGCACGAAACUUUACAAUACAGUAAAAAAAUUGUUACAGUAAAAGCACAGAGAGAAGAACGGUUCCAUAAAAAGAUGUGGUAAGUCUAAUGUUGGGAGACUGCUCUUCCAAGGAUCCUACGGUUGCGAGCCAUGUGAAUGCAAAAGGAGCCAGUUGUUGCAACUCCAAAUUCCUUGCUUUUUUUCCUCUACGUACGUGUUACCUUUAACCUUUUAUAAUUAUGAUUGUUGCGUUGCUAAUUAUAAUUUGCAAGAAAGAUGAUGAACAUCUUUUAGUGAAUUAAGUUCAAUUCAAAAUAACAAAAUAAGGUUUGUUGAGGCUUAUCUUCGAACCUCAUUUUAGGAUUAAUAGACGAAAAUCAAAAAGUCCUGUGCAAAUUAUACAAAAUUUAUUAUUAAUAAUCAAUAUUUAUGAUUGAUCAUCAACAUUAAAUAAUGGCUUAUUUUCUAGUAUAAACUAUGUUUGAAAUAAAAUUGAUAACAGACACACAAUUAAUGAUGGUAUUGUAUAUUUUGAGACGAAAUUAAGGUUUUUCAAUUAAUGCUAAAACAUAUCAUGGUUUUAAUAGUUGGAUGGUACAUUAUGUAAAAUAUAAAAAAAUAUUUAUUUUUUUGAUAUACAUAGUAAUAAUAAAUUAGAUGAUAAUAACAAAAAAAUAGAAAUUAGUUUGAAUAAAUAGUACCGGUUCAUAUUAUGAUAUAUCUAGAGAAGAAGUUGGAAGAAUAGAAUGAAAUCAAAUAUUAAUAUAAAAAAAAAUAUUGAAGUAAUGAGUACAUGAAGCAAGAUAAUUAGUGGUUGAAUAUAGAUUAUAACUAAUUAUUUGUUCUGAUGAAGAUUACCAAUUAAAUACAAACAAAAAAAAUGUUUCUAAAAUAAAAGGAUAUGAAUUAACUAUAGAAACUAAAGAGUGGAUCGGUUAUCUUUAACGUUUGCAAAUAAUUAAAAGAGAUAUAAAUUUUGUGAUGGGUUAUGAUUAACGCAGAAGCAAAUAAAAGAGGAACAGAAAUUAUAAGCAAAUAUUGUUUCCUGGGCGGAAGUGUUUGGCACUGUCGAUAAAAGUUUUUUGAAAAAAAUUAAUUUUAUUUUUAUUUUUUUAUUUUAAAUUAAUAUAUAUUUUAUGUUUUCAGAAUAUUUUGAUGUAUUAAUAUCAAAAAUAAUUAUUCAAAAAUAAAAAAAAAUCUAACCAUUAGAGCUUCUCUCUCAAUCGUCUUUCUUUUUUUUAAUAACUAGAUUAUUAAAAUUACAAGAAUUAAGUUAAUAUUUCAAAAAAUUUCAAAAAAAUAUUUUGUUUUCUUUUAGUAUCUGGGAUUAUGAAUUUAUACGUAAAAUGUAUUCUUGAUAUUAAAAAAAAAGAUAAGGAUCUUCUUACUGAGGAAGACUUAUCUUGAACCUUAGACAUACUAAUUAGAAAACAUGACAAUACCUUAAUUUUUCUCAGACAAUUAAACAAUGCAAUUGUGUAUUUGGGGUGCUAAUAUAUUUUUUUUUACACAAUCAGUUUUCAUGCUCGAUCUCUAAGAUUAAUUAGGGUUUCUAGUAACUAAAAUACUAAGUAAAUAUUUUCUAGUAAAUUAAUUUCAAUUCAAAAUAACAAAAUAAGGUUUGUUGAGGCUUAUCGUGAAACCUUGUUUUGGAUGAAUUGAUCACGAGAAUGAGAAAUCAUGUGUAAAUUAUACAAAAUAUAUUAUUAAUCAUCAAUAUUUAUUAUUGAUUAUCAAUAUUGAAUAAUGGUUUUUUAUAAUAUAAAUUAUGUUUAAAAUAAAAUUGAUAAAAUUAAAAUUCAUGAAACACAAUUAAUGAUGGGAUCUACAUCUUUUGAAUUUAUUAGAAUGAACGUGUAAUUAAAGGACGAACCACAUACCAUUACAUGCGUUUUCAAUUGGAUUUUUUAUUUAAAUGAAAAAAAAUCUGUUUUAUAUGAAAAAAAUAUUUAUUUUUUUGAUAUACCUAAUAAUAAUAAAUUAGAGAAUAGUAACAAGAAAAUAGGAAUUAGAUAGACUAAACGGUACCAAUACUAUAUUCUUAAUAAAAAAAAUAUUUUUAAUAAAUAUAAAAGAUGGAUGAAAAUUGUUGCUACUCGAUUUUUUACCUAUAUUUUAAAUAAUUUUUCAGAAAAAAAUCAAAAUAGUAAAAACACAACGAAAAUCUCAAAAAAUGUAUUUUUGAUAUAUUUGUAUUGUUUUUAGCAUUUUUAAUAUUAUCUCAAAAAAAUUUUAAUUUUCAAAAGUAUUUUAAACGCGUUUAAUUUUUAAUGCGUAAAAUUUACAAUUACUGAUUUGCCUUAUUAAGUUGAUAUUGAUAUGAUUUGUUUUUAAAAAAAUUCAAAAUAUAACAAAUAAAAAAAUAUCAAAAUUUAUAUAUAUAAAAAAAAAUGAGGAACCAGUUUGGAAAUCUAAUAAGAUUUUGGCUAUAAAUACAGUGAAAAAUGUCAACAUCCGGGGGGAAUUGAGAGGAAUAGUGGCGUAGAAAAUUUUGGGGGGAAACAAAAGUAAAGAACCCUAGACCUCUUCCUUUUGGCAGUGUGGUAGUGGUUGCUUUUCAAAUAAUUUUUCGUGCCGAAAUACAUGCCAAUGAUAUUUUUUUAUUUUUUAAAAAUCAUUUUUGACAUCAGCACAUCAAAACGAUCCAAAAAAUACAAACCACACUCAAUUUUAACAAAAAAAAAAACAAAUUUGAAAUUUGGUGAAAAGCAGGUUGAACAGCAGAGCCAAACAUGCUAGACAGGAGCCGCCGCCUCCCUCUCAAAAAAUCCAGAGAAACCCUCCCUCUCUAAAAAAAAACAGGAGAAACCCUACUUUGGGGUUUUGAACUUUCGGCUUCUUCUCCCUGCAGCCGGACAAGGCUGCCCCCUCGCUUUGCCAAAAACGAGGAGAACCCCACAAAACACACAGACCCCCCCCCCCCAAAAAAAAAAAAAAAACCAUCCCCAGAGAAACCAACCCCCAGCCGGCGACCCCCAGCCUUAACAACAAAGAAAGACACGGCUGGUCCCCCCUCUCCACUGAUCUUCUCCCUCACCAACCUUCCCCUCUCUCGGCCGCUCACUUCCCCUCCGUCAAAAACAGAGACCGGCCGCCCCCCCCCUCUCCUUUGAGGCCAGGAACCAGAGAAACCAGAGAGCUCCGGACAGGCCUCCCUCUCCCUCGACCACAACCUCCAUCCUCCCUCUCUGUAAUCCAGCCCCCACAAACCCACAAGACAGCCCCGGCUCCCUUCCUCAUCGCCGUUUUCUCCAACUCUGACCGACCCCUCUCUCAGCCACCGAGAACGCCGCCUAGCAGCCCGCAGGCCCUCGUCCUCACCAAGACCCGAACCGGCCACCGGCAGCUGUACAGACACGACAGAAGCUCCGCCGCCGGCCGCCCCUUGCACAUACCGUCGGCCACCUGAAACAGAAGGUGAAAAAAAAAGAAAAAAACAGAUCUGCAGAAGAAACAGAUCUGAAACAAGGGAAGACCGAAACAGAUCUAAAGAAGAAGAAUAAAAAUCAACUGCUUUGUUGCGUUUUUGGUUGUUCUUGCAGGUCACUGCCGAGGAAAGGAAGAGGAGGAGAAGUUAAGCCAGAUCCACAUGUUCACAGUUUCUGCUUGCGGUGACGCGUGAACCCACACGCCGCCAGUGGCAUGGUGCGUGGAGAAGACGCUCCGCCACUGUUCCCAUCCCCAGAACCCUUUCAGCACUGUUCCCGAGGUUUUUUUUUAUUUAAUUUUCAGAUGUUGAUAUGUGUUUUUAGAUUAUUUUUAUUUGAUUUAUUUUGAAUUCUUGGUAUUUUGUAAUAUGGAAAUGUGGGUGCACGAGAAAAACAUAAUAAAAAGGAAUUUAUGUGUUUGUAUUUUUUUUAUGUAAGUUAUUGAAUUAUAAAAUCAGAAAGAUAAAAAAAAAUAAAUUUAAUGUUUUAAUUUGUAUAUGGUCAAGUAUAUGAUGAUAAUUAAAAUUAUGUUGUAUUUUUCAUAUUUUUCAUAAAAAUAUAAGAACAUGUUUCUAUAUAUUUUCUGGUGGAAGCUUUAAAAUUUGAUUAAUAUUUUAUUUUUUAAAAUUGUAUCUUCAAAUUAAAUUAUGAAGCAACUUAUCUCAGGUAAGAUGUGUUAGAGGUGUUAAUAUUUUUUCAAUUAUAAUCAAUUUUUUAUCCUUGAAUCUUUGACAAGACUAACAUAUCCAGGUUUUUUAGUAGGUGAUGACUUUCAAGAACAAGCAAACGAAGAAAAUCACUAAUUGACGCCGUGCAGGGAACGUGCGACAAAAAUAUUAGAGAAUAAAAUUGAGAUAUAGAAUCUCUUUUUUAUAUUUCUAAAAACUUAAUUUCUGUUGUAACCUAUUUUUGAGUCCCACACUAAAAUGGAGAAUAAACAAAUUUGGAAGAAAUCUAAAAAAAUAAUAGCAAUGAGAAGAGGAUGCCGAAACACCUAGAAAAUAGCUAGAAAUUGGUUGAGGAGGUUCAAAAAUACAAAAAUUAAAAUUUGACAGUAUAUAUUUGACUGAUGAGAGCUCUAUUGAAAAAGAAAAUUUAAUUUGAGAAAAAAAAGUUUAAAAUCAGAUGUUUAUGGAUUUAAUUAAUUUUAUUGAAGGAUUUAUAAAGAGUUUGAUUGCAAGAAAAAUUGAUUUUUAAGUCAAUUUAGACUUUAAUUGAAAGAAAUUAAAGUUCUGAGGUCAAAUUACAAUUUUUAAGAGUUAAUUUGGUCAAAUUAGGAGUUUAAUUACAUAAAUAUUAAAGUUUGAUGGCUAAUUAGGGACUUGUUUAAAUAAAUCCAAAACUAAUGACCAAAAGUUCUAUAACUCUAGAUAUAGUUAACAAUCUGAUGAGUGUUCAGACAGUAACAGUUCAAUGUCGAGACAGUAACAGUUGGACAAUAACAGUUAGACAGUAACAGUUCAAUGUUUAGACAGUAACAGUUGGACAGUAACAGUUCAAUAUCUAGACAGUAACGGUUGGACAGUAACAGUUCAAUGUCUAGACAGUAACAGUUCAAAUUAGACAGUAACAAUUAGACUUUCACGUGAAUACUAUAUGUAAGAAUAUAAAAGAACUGAGUCAUGCGAACACUUGCACGUUGAGACACUUAUGCAAUUUAAAGUUCUUCUGGUGAAUGCAAUUACAAUAAAUACCAUGUUCAAUGUAAAUAAAGUCCAGCGUAUUUACAAGAUUAGCUACAGCUAAUGGCAUCCGUGAUAGGAUUGCCGGGAAAUGAAUUACAAGAGUAGCUUGGGCUAAUAAUGUCCAUGUUGGGACGCCCGAGAACGAUUGAUAAGACUUGAUUUGUAAAGGGUAUCAAUGUUUGAAUGACUUGGGAAAUUGAUAAAUAUAAGUUGACUGUUAUAAUUCUUAUGGAUCCGAUAGAAAAUUUAUACUUCAUUCGUAUACCUUACAUGUGCACAUAUAUAUUUCUUUUGCAAACAUAAUGGUAUGUUUAUUUAUGUAACAAGGCCAUCAAAUAUCCAAGGAGAUCAUUAGUUUAGGGCUCUAUUUUGUCAAUCUUAUGUAAAUAUUUAACUUAAGCAUAAUGGAAUUAACGUGUUUAUGCAGUAUGCUUUUGUGUAAACCUUGAUGUAUUUAUAAAAGUCCAGCUUAACAUGUAGUACAUUAGUUAUCUUGUAAUUAACCCUCUUGAAAUGUUUAAGAAUACUUAAUAAAUUGUAAAUGCUCUCUUUGCAUGUUAUUCCCUUUUCUUUUAAAUUUUAUGACAUGAUAUAUAGGCUAUGUUCAUAUUGAACUUACUAGUAGGAUAUAUAUAUAUAUAUAUAUAUAUAUAUAUAUAUAUAUAUAUAUAUAUAUAUAUAUAUAUAUAUAUAUAUAUAUAUUGUGUGGAUUGUAUGAGUUGUUGAAUAUUGAUAAUUGAAAUAAGGUCUGGAAUUAUGGGACCUUGUGAUGAUGGGUUGAUUGAGUAAAUUGGUAGUAGUCGAUAAUUUGGAAUGUCCUAAAUACAAACGAAACUUUGCCGAAUUUUUGGUAGAUUUAAAAAAAAAAAAUUACCCUCAAAUUAAGAACAUAUGUUGGGAUCUUUUAACGUUGAUCAAGUCGUACAGUCGGGUCUGUUACAUAUACCGUAAAGAUACAAAUCCAGUAUUAAAAUACGUGGUUUUCACCAAAAUAUUGCAAAAGUUAAAUAAAAGAAAUAUAUUAUUUUCAUGCAUAUGGCCAACUCUUUAAAAAAAAAUUAUCAUAUCGUAUUUUCAUACCAUAAAAAAAAUCUCAAAAAUAUUUGUUAGCAUGCAUUUUGGCUUUAAUAACUAGUUUGUUAAAGUCAUGAGAACUAUGCUAACAUUUUAAAAAUUUCAAAAAAAUUAUCUUGUUUUAUUUUAAUAUCCGGGAUUAUGAACUUAAUCGUAAGUCGUACUCCUAAUAUUAAAAUUAGUUUCUUUGGUUGAUAUAGAACGGUUAGGUUUUACCCAAUUAGAUAAUAAUCUCUUUAUCGAGGAAAAUUUUUCUUAAACCAUAGACAGACCAACAACUAGAAAACACAAUGAUACCUUAGCCUAUAUCAGACAAUAAAACAAUGCAGCUUACCUUAGGUAGGGCGUAUUUUGGGUGCUAAUACUUUUUUUUUACGCAAUCAGUCUCCGUACCCGAUCUUUGAGACCAAUUAGGGUUUCAGUUACCAAAAUACUAGGUGGUGACUCUCAUUUUUCCAUUCCACUGAUAAAAGACAAGAUUUUCUUGCCUCCCUAUAUUUGCCAGAUAGACAUACAUGAGAGUGGAUGUUAUUCACCGUGACACCGCACACGUGUCACAAUUACAAUUCCAUUAUAAUUUGUUCCUUAAAAGUAUUCAAAAUAUAGUAUUAGAAUUACGUAAUGCUAGGUUUUAAUAUAUAAUUUUUUAUAUUGUUAAAGAGUCUCUCCUGGACCAAAUAAUAAAAAUAUUGUAUAACUCUUAUGUAUGAAUCGUAAAUCCAGGGAUUGUUUUGGAUCCUGAAUUGGCUGAUUUGAUUUGAAUAUAUUAUAUGAUUAGUCCAUUUAUAGGUUAACUCUACUAUUGCUGCCUUGCAUUGACUUUACUCUGCAGCUAACUUCUCUGUCCCAUUGCUGCCAUUUCAUAGCUAACUCUUUGUUAUAUUUAACUUUCUCUUCUUUGCUUCUUUCUCGUUUUAAUUUCAUUUCUUGCUCAUAACGAUAACUUGAAAGCCUCACGUUCAGAUAGAUAAUCAUUGACCAGUUCAUCCUAUAUCAUUCUAUUUAAUUUAGAAAUGCAGAAAGAAAAACGCAAGCAAUCCAAAGAUGAAGAAAACGAUUCAUCCUCGCGAAAGAGAAGAAAAGCUGACCUCA
RNAcentral lists this long non-coding RNA (13722 nucleotides) under Populus trichocarpa (black cottonwood). RNAcentral's name for it is "long non-coding RNA (PTRI_LNC004300)". Lineage: Eukaryota; Viridiplantae; Streptophyta; Magnoliopsida; Malpighiales; Salicaceae. The record is from RNAcentral.